Molecule: ribosomal RNA, 550 nt
Filed under: uncultured bacterium
Lineage: Bacteria
Description: bacterial SSU rRNA
Rfam family: Bacterial small subunit ribosomal RNA
Source: RNAcentral
UAGGGAAUCUUCGGCAAUGGGGGGAACCCUGACCGAGCAACGCCGCGUGAGUGAAGAAGGUUUUCGGAUCGUAAAGCUCUGUUGUUAAGGAAGAACGUGUGUGAGAGUGGAAAGUUCACACAGUGACGGUACUUAACCAGAAAGGGACGGCUAACUACGUGCCAGCAGCCGCGGUAAUACGUAGGUCCCGAGCGUUGUCCGGAUUUAUUGGGCGUAAAGCGAGCGCAGGCGGUUAGAUAAGUCUGAAGUGAAAGGCAGUGGCUCAACCAUUGUAGGCUUUGGAAACUGUUGAACUUGAGUGCAGAAGGGGAGAGUGGAAUUCCAUGUGUAGCGGUGAAAUGCGUAGAUAUAUGGAGGAACACCGGUGGCGAAAGCGGCUCUCUGGUCUGUAACUGACGCUGAGGCUCGAAAGCGUGGGGAGCGAACAGGAUUAGAUACCCUGGUAGUCCACGCCGUAAACGAUGAGUGCUAGGUGUUAGGUCCUUUCCGGGACUUAGUGCCGCAGCUAACGCAUUAAGCACUCCGCCUGGGGAGUACGACCGCAAGGUUG